This 69-nucleotide transfer RNA is filed under the name Toxocara canis (dog roundworm). It matches the Rfam family "tRNA". From Rfam's summary of the family: Transfer RNA (tRNA) molecules are approximately 80 nucleotides in length. Their secondary structure includes four short double-helical elements and three loops (D, anti-codon, and T loops). Lineage: Eukaryota; Metazoa; Nematoda; Chromadorea; Rhabditida; Toxocaridae. The record is from Rfam by way of RNAcentral.
GGGCAAGUAGCUCAGUGGUAAAGCUCCCACUCUAUGCGGGAAGACCUGGGUUCGAUUCCCGGCUGCUUA